Molecule: ribosomal RNA, 468 nt
Filed under: uncultured bacterium
Lineage: Bacteria
Description: partial 16S ribosomal RNA
Rfam family: Bacterial small subunit ribosomal RNA
Source: RNAcentral
GACGAACGCUGGCGGCGUGCUUAACACAUGCAAGUCGAACGGAAAGGCCCUGCUUUUGUGGGGUGCUCGAGUGGCGAACGGGUGAGUAACACGUGAGUAACCUGCCCUUGACUUUGGGAUAACUUCAGGAAACUGGGGCUAAUACCGGAUAGGAGCUCCUGCUGCAUGGUGGGGGUUGGAAAGUUUCGGCGGUUGGGGAUGGACUCGCGGCUUAUCAGCUUGUUGGUGGGGUAGUGGCUUACCAAGGCUUUGACGGGUAGCCGGCCUGAGAGGGUGACCGGCCACAUUGGGACUGAGAUACGGCCCAGACUCCUACGGGAGGCAGAAGUGGGGAAUAUUGCACAAUGGGCGGAAGCCUGAUGCAGCAACGCCGCGUACGGGAUGACGGCCUUCGGGUUGUAAACCGCUUUCGCCUGUGACGAAGCGUGAGUGACGGUAAUGGGUAAAGAAGCACCGGCUAACUACGUG